CGCUGUCACUCCUACGGGAGGCAGCAGUGGGGGAAUAUUGCACAAUGGGCGCAAGCCUGAUGCAGCCAUGCCGCGUGUAUGAAGAAGGCCUUCGGGUUGUAAAGUACUUUCAGCAGUGAGGAAGGCGGGUACGUUAAUAGCGUGCUCGUUUGACGUUAGCUGCAGAAGAAGCACCGGCUAACUCCGUGCCAGCAGCCGCGGUAAUACGGAGGGUGCGAGCGUUAAUCGGAAUUACUGGGCGUAAAGCGCAUGCAGGUGGUUUGUUAAGUCAGAUGUGAAAGCCCGGGGCUCAACCUCGGAAUUGCAUUUGAAACUGGCAGACUAGAGUACUGUAGAGGGGGUAGAAUUUCAGGUGUAGCGGUGAAAAUGCGUAGAGAUCUGAAGGAAUACCGGUGGCGAAGGCGGCCCCCUGGACAGAUACUGACACUCAGAUGCGAAAGCGUGGGGAGCAAACAGGAUUAGAUACCCUGGUAG
RNAcentral lists this ribosomal RNA (474 nucleotides) under uncultured bacterium. RNAcentral's name for it is "bacterial SSU rRNA". It matches the Rfam family "Bacterial small subunit ribosomal RNA", at positions 328 to 793 of the family's 1533-position model. The record is from RNAcentral.